This 76-nucleotide transfer RNA is filed under the name Hyphomicrobiaceae bacterium. Its description in RNAcentral is "tRNA-Thr". It matches the Rfam family "tRNA". Rfam says of the family: Transfer RNA (tRNA) molecules are approximately 80 nucleotides in length. The record is from RNAcentral. Lineage: Bacteria; Pseudomonadati; Pseudomonadota; Alphaproteobacteria; Hyphomicrobiales; Hyphomicrobiaceae.
GCGGGCUUAGCUCAGUUGGUAUAGCACCUGAUUUGUAAUCAGGGGGUCGGGGGUUCAAAUCCCUCAGCCGGCACCA